GUGAAAGUGGGGUGGGGGGGAAGUCGGGGAGAGUUGAAUGCUUCCCUGAUCUGCUCCAACUGGAAAUAGCCCUGAGUGGCUGGCAGCCUUGCUCCAGAGCUCAGAGUACCCAGGGCAGCUCCUGAUUUUAUAGGCUAAUCUGAGACCGAGUCAGUUGCCUUGGGAUAUUAGGUCUACGGGGUAAGGUGACAAGGAGCUGGGAAGGGAGCCCCCCAAACCCCCACGUGCUGUGGCUUCACAGGUGGGUGCAUCAGACUUCUGUGCUGCCCUGCUUCUGUUUCCCUCACUAAGUUCUGAAAUAGAUAAUCGCACCGAGGUGGGGGCCAGGCCAGUCCAACACAGGCGCUCUGAGGUUGGCCCGCAAUGCGGAAACUGUCAGUUAUCCUGUUGGAGGUCCUCCCUCCAUUUCUCGGAGCAGGGUCCUCAUUCCUGUUAUAGACCCGUUGGUACAAUGCUGAUGUUCUAAUCCCUUUACCCUCUUCUCCGACCAAGAGAAAUGCGUGCACCCGAAAGAGGAGGAGGCCAGGGAGGGAGGGAAGGAAGAAAAGGAGACAGAGAAGAAGGAAGAGAAUCCUUGCGAAAGGAACAAUCCAGGAUCCAGCCCCUUGACCUGGAAGCCAGACUUCUUCUGACGUCUACAAGACCAUGCAGGUGAGCUGCGUGUUUCUUGAUUAUCAGCUGUGUGCACGGCUCUGAACUUGGGGCCGGGGCAGUGAAAUCGUGUGGGGAUUUUUCUGGUUGUUAUUAUUAGUUGUUUUUCUAAGAAAAGAGUAAAUCCUACCCCAAAAGGCAUUCCUAAUCACAGUGACAAAGAUCUAGGUUGGUUCUGGGGCACACGCAGCUUGACAGCUUUAUCUGAACUGACCAGUUACUAAGGAGUCAAAACGGUGCUUUCAGCUACUUGGAAACAGGUACUUUUACCUUAGUGUUACACGUGAUUUCAAAACAACACAAGUGUGAAUCCCCAAGGUUGCAUAUGCAGCUGAUAAUGCCUGUGACAGGGACUUUCCAGGCUUUUCAGCAAAAAACACAAGUCAGUGCAAAUUGGCCUUCUGGAAACAGAGUUCAAAAGCACUGAGGGGAGGCAAGGUUAUGUAACUCCCGAGAAGUUCAAGGCGAGGUCGAUGUGGGCAAGCAGAGCGGUGUUUGGGACUGCAUUAGGGAACGGUGGUCCAGUUUACUAGUCGGC
RNAcentral lists this long non-coding RNA (1189 nucleotides) under Sus scrofa (pig). RNAcentral describes it as "lncRNA (ENSSSCG00050052516.1)". The record is from RNAcentral. Lineage: Eukaryota; Metazoa; Chordata; Mammalia; Artiodactyla; Suidae.